This 429-nucleotide ribosomal RNA is filed under the name Pseudomonadota bacterium. Its description in RNAcentral is "Proteobacteria bacterium partial 16S ribosomal RNA". It matches the Rfam family "Bacterial small subunit ribosomal RNA", at positions 355 to 776 of the family's 1533-position model. The record is from RNAcentral. Lineage: Bacteria; Pseudomonadati; Pseudomonadota.
UGGGGAAUAUUGGACAAUGGGCGAAAGCCUGAUCCAGCCAUGCCGCGUGUGUGAAGAAGGUCUUCGGAUUGUAAAGCACUCUAAGUUGGGAGGAAGGGCAGUAAGCGAAUACCUUGCUGUUUUGACGUUACCGACAGAAUAAGCACCGGCUAACUCUGUGCCAGCAGCCGCGGUAAUACAGAGGGUGCAAGCGUUAAUCGGAAUUACUUGGCGUAAAGCGCGCGUAGGUGGUUCGUUAAGUUGAAUGUGAAAGCCCCGGGCUCAACCUGGGAAAUGCAUCCAAAACUGGCGAGCUAGAGUAGGGCAGAGGGUGGUGGAAUUUCCUGUGUAGCGGUGAAAUGCGUAGAUAUAGGAAGGAACACCAGUGGCGAAGGCGACCACCUGGGCUCAUACUGACACUGAGGUGCGAAAGCGUGGGGAGCAAACAGG